UCCUCAGUGUUGGCUCCAGCAGGCCUGAUGU
This 31-nucleotide non-coding RNA is filed under the name Homo sapiens (human). The record is from RNAcentral. Lineage: Eukaryota; Metazoa; Chordata; Mammalia; Primates; Hominidae.